RNAcentral lists this long non-coding RNA (352 nucleotides) under Carica papaya (papaya). RNAcentral describes it as "long non-coding RNA (CPAP_LNC009628)". Lineage: Eukaryota; Viridiplantae; Streptophyta; Magnoliopsida; Brassicales; Caricaceae. The record is from RNAcentral.
AUACCCCGUCUGGUAUGAGAGUGAAGCGAGCUGUCCCUCUACCCCGUCCAGUAUGAGCGCCAAAUUAUCAAGUCUCCAUACCCCGUCCUGUAUGAGACAACGUUCACGGUAGGGUUCUUUAUGUACCCAGUCCGUCCACCAUCUCUCAAGAUAUCUAGUAAGGCUAUCGUUCCAUAUGUUUAUUUAAUUAAACAACUUUUUUGUUUUUCUUUAGUCUCCAUUUUCCAAAUCAAAUAUGAUCACAUAAGCAAACAAACAUGUAUCAGAGAAUGCAAUCAUAUCUCAAUUUUUCAAUCAAACAGUAGUCAUGUAAGGCAGCAAUUCAUACAUUCAAACCAUAAAAUUGAUAAAC